Molecule: unclassified non-coding RNA, 360 nt
Filed under: uncultured fungus
Lineage: Eukaryota; Fungi
Description: sequence contains ITS1
Rfam family: 5.8S ribosomal RNA (bases 1-107)
Source: RNAcentral
GAAAUGCGAUACUUGGUGUGAAUUGCAGAAUCCCGUGAACCAUCGAGUCUUUGAACGCAAGUUGCGCCCGAGGCCUCCUGGUCGAGGGCACGUCUGCCUGGGUGUCACGCAUCGUCGCCCCCGCUCCCCUCGGCUCACGAGGGCGGGGGCGGAUACUGGUCUCCCGCGCGCUCCCGCUCGCGGCUGGCCCAAAAUCGAGUCCUCGGCGACGGUCGCCACGACGAGCGGUGGUUGAGAGACCCUCGGACACUGUCGUGCGCGCGCCCGUCGCCCCCGGGAUCUCCUGGACCCUCGGGCAUCGACCUUCUAGGAUGCCCUCGUUGCGACCCCAGGUCAGGCGGGACUACCCGCUGAGUUUAA